GUGCUUCCGUUUCACGAUCGUUUAACAGCCUCAGAAUUUUGCUACGAAACUGCUAAACUUCUGUGCCCGCAAGUCUUUAAAAAAUAUCCCGAACAGAAAAAUGAUCCUUCUUCGUGCAAGCGCGCGAAGUUAUUUGAAAUGUGUUUUCGGAACAAAUUUAUGCAGUGUAGUCUCCACUUCCAUACCGUUUUUCACGAAACGUGUGCUUAGUUUGUCGAAGCAGCAUGCGAUUGCCACCAGUCCGCUAUAUACACGAUUAUAUGUAAGAACAUUGAUGUUAUUGGUGUAAUGCGAUAAAAUAGAAAACACCGGGGGAAAUUUGAGUUACAUGCAACUGAUCGACGAGAAAUUCAAGAAUUCUUAAUCACAGCAGAACCACGAUUUCAAAUUAGGAAAAUAGUUUAUUUUUUCCUAAGAGAUCACUAUACAUAAUAACAAAAUAAAAUUGCAUUUGAACUCA
Molecule: long non-coding RNA, 460 nt
Organism: Octopus bimaculoides (California two-spot octopus)
Lineage: Eukaryota; Metazoa; Mollusca; Cephalopoda; Octopoda; Octopodidae
Source: RefSeq, a predicted model, not a curated record